GUCUGAGUGGCUCAGUUGGUUAGAGCGUUGGUCUCAUACUUGUAUGACUCGGUGGGUCACCACUGGGAUAUCCAAUCCAAAGGUCGGGAGUUCGAGUCUCCCCUCGGACA
Molecule: non-coding RNA, 110 nt
Organism: Coniella lustricola
Lineage: Eukaryota; Fungi; Ascomycota; Sordariomycetes; Diaporthales; Schizoparmaceae
Source: the annotation of a GenBank genome assembly